CAAGAGGGGGCAGUAUCGUAUAAGUAAACUGGGAGUAUCUCUCCUCUGUCUCCUUCCAGCUUGUGGGUGCUAAUUACCUGAGCCAGUGCUCAAGUCAGUUGAAGAUAAAUGACCUUCCUGGAUGUGGUGAUGUGUCUGACUUGCGAAACGGUCCAGUGGGUCUUGGCUGUGUGUGGUGGGUGCAUGGCACCCUGCUCUUGGUAUAUGCUUCAGUGGAGAUUCUGGUGGCCUCAAUCAGCCAAAAGCAGUGGAGAAACAAUGCCCUUUCUAGCAGAUGCUGCCGAGAAGUGAAACAAUAUUUAUUAAUUCCAUGAAGAGACAACUACACAUUCAACCUCCAUAAUGGCCAUGUUAAUAAGUUUUAGGCAUCUUGGGUUAGAAUCCAAAUUUGGCCACGGCUUCUUAAGAAAGACCUUG
Cervus elaphus (red deer) is the source of this 417-nucleotide long non-coding RNA. RefSeq lists it as uncharacterized. The record is from RefSeq and is a predicted model, not a curated record. Lineage: Eukaryota; Metazoa; Chordata; Mammalia; Artiodactyla; Cervidae. The transcript has 2 exons.